RNAcentral lists this unclassified non-coding RNA (638 nucleotides) under Trichoderma orientale. RNAcentral's name for it is "sequence contains 18S rRNA gene, ITS1, 5.8S rRNA gene, ITS2, 28S rRNA gene". The stretch from base 267 to 420 matches the Rfam family "5.8S ribosomal RNA". The record is from RNAcentral. Lineage: Eukaryota; Fungi; Ascomycota; Sordariomycetes; Hypocreales; Hypocreaceae.
UCGUAACAAGGUCUCCGUUGGUGAACCAGCGGAGGGAUCAUUACCGAGUUUACAACUCCCAAACCCCAAUGUGAACGUUACCAAUCUGUUGCCUCGGCGGGAUUCUCUUGCCCCGGGCGCGUCGCAGCCCCGGAUCCCAUGGCGCCCGCCGGAGGACCAACUCCAAACUCUUUUCUCUCUCCGUCGCGGCUCCCGUCGCGGCUCUGUUUUAUUUUUGCUCUGAGCCUUUCUCGGCGACCCUAGCGGGCGUCUCGAAAAUGAAUCAAAACUUUCAACAACGGAUCUCUUGGUUCUGGCAUCGAUGAAGAACGCAGCGAAAUGCGAUAAGUAAUGUGAAUUGCAGAAUUCAGUGAAUCAUCGAAUCUUUGAACGCACAUUGCGCCCGCCAGUAUUCUGGCGGGCAUGCCUGUCCGAGCGUCAUUUCAACCCUCGAACCCCUCCGGGGGGUCGGCGUUGGGGAUCGGCCCCUCACCGGGCCGCCCCCGAAAUACAGUGGCGGUCUCGCCGCAGCCUCUCAUGCGCAGUAGUUUGCACACUCGCACCGGGAGCGCGGCGCGGCCACAGCCGUAAAACACCCCAAAUUUUCUGAAAUGUUGACCUCGGAUCAGGUAGGAAUACCCGCUGAACUUAAGCAUAUC